This 433-nucleotide unclassified non-coding RNA is filed under the name soil metagenome. Its description in RNAcentral is "partial contains 5.8S ribosomal RNA, internal transcribed spacer 2, and large subunit ribosomal RNA". The stretch from base 1 to 120 matches the Rfam family "5.8S ribosomal RNA", at positions 35 to 154 of the family's 154-position model. The record is from RNAcentral.
GAUGAAGAACGUAGCGAAAUGCGAUACGUAAUGUGAAUUGCAGAAUUCAGUGAAUCAUCGAAUCUUUGAACGCAUAUUGCGCUCUCUGGUAUUCCGGAGAGCAUGCUUGUUUGAGUAUCAGUAAACACCUCAACUUCCAUAUCUUUUUUGAAAUGGGAGUUGGACUUGAGUGAUCCCAACGCUUUUCCUCACCGAAAAGUGGCGGGUUACUUGAAAUGCAGGUGCAGCUGGACUUUUCUCUGAGCUAUUAGGAAAUCUAUUUAGUCUUCCAUAAAAACAGAUUAUUACCUUUGCUGCAGCUAACAUAAAGGAGAUUAGUUCUUGUGCUGACUGAUGCAGGAUUCACAAAGACAGGCUUCGGCCGACUUUGUAAACUCGAUCUCAAAUCAAGUAAGACUACCCGCUGAACUUAAGCAUAUCAAUAAGCGGAGGA